Molecule: ribosomal RNA, 1129 nt
Filed under: Wolbachia pipientis
Lineage: Bacteria; Pseudomonadati; Pseudomonadota; Alphaproteobacteria; Rickettsiales; Anaplasmataceae
Description: bacterial SSU rRNA
Rfam family: Bacterial small subunit ribosomal RNA
Source: RNAcentral
CUAUAGCUGAUCUGAGAGGAUGAUCAGCCACACUGGAACUGAGAUACGGUCCAGACUCCUACGGGAGGCAGCAGUGGGGAAUAUUGGACAAUGGGCGAAAGCCUGAUCCUGCCAUGCCGCAUGAGUGAAGAAGGCCUUCGGGUUGUAAAGCUCUUUUAGUGAGAAAGAUAAUGACGGUACUCACAGAAGAAGUCCUGGCUAACUCCGUGCCAGCAGCCGCGGUAAUACGGAGAGGGCUAGCGUUAUUCGGAAUUAUUGGGCGUAAAGAGCGCGUAGGCUGAUUAGUAAGUUAAAAGUGAAAUCCCAGAGCUUAACUUUGGAAUUGCUUUUAAAACUGCUAAUCUAGAGAUUGAAAGAGGAUAGAGGAAUUCCUAGUGUAGAGGUGAAAUUCGUAAAUAUUAGGAGGAACACCAGUGGCGAAGGCGUCUAUCUGGUUCAAAUCUGACGCUGAGGCGCGAAGGCGUGGGGAGCAAACAGGAUUAGAUACCCUGGUAGUCCACGCUGUAAACGAUGAAUGUUAAAUAUGGGAAGUUUACUUUCUGUAUUACAGCUAACGCGUUAAACAUUCCGCCUGGGGACUACGGUCGCAAGAUUAAAACUCAAAGGAAUUGACGGGGACCCGCACAAGCGGUGGAGCAUGUGGUUUAAUUCGAUGCAACGCGAAAAACCUUACCACUCCUUGACAUGGAAAUCAUACCUAUUUGAAGGAAUAGGGUCGGUUCGGCCGGAUUUCACACAGGUGUUGCAUGGCUGUCGUCAGCUCGUGUCGUGAGAUGUUGGGUUAAGUCCCGCAACGAGCGCAACCCUCAUCCUUAGUUACCAUCAGGUUAUGCUGGGGACUUUAAGGAAACUGCCAGUGAUAAACUGGAGGAAGGUGGGGAUGAUGUCAAGUCAUCAUGGCCCUUAUGGAGUGGGCUACACACGUGCUACAAUGGUGAUUACAAUGGGCUGCAAAGUCGUAAGGCUGAGCUAAUCCUAAAAAAUCAUCUCAGUUCGGAUUGUUCUCUGCAACUCGAGAGCAUGAAGUUGGAAUCGCUAGUAAUCGUGGAUCAGCAUGCCACGGUGAAUACGUUCUCGGGUCUUGUACACACUGCCCGUCACGCCAUGGGAAUUGGUUUCACUCGAAGCU